Molecule: ribosomal RNA, 500 nt
Filed under: uncultured bacterium
Lineage: Bacteria
Description: partial 16S ribosomal RNA
Rfam family: Bacterial small subunit ribosomal RNA
Source: RNAcentral
AUUGAACGCUGGCGGCAUGCCUUAUACAUGCAAGUCGAACGGCAGCACGGGAGCAAUCCUGGUGGCGAGUGGCGAACGGGUGAGUAAAGUAUCGGAACGUGCCCAGUCGUGGGGGAUAACGUAGCGAAAGUUACGCUAAUACCGCAUACGAUCUAUGGAUGAAAGCGGGGGAUCGCAAGACCUCGCGCGAUUGGAGCGGCCGAUAUCAGAUUAGGUAGUUGGUGGGGUAAAGGCUCACCAAGCCGACGAUCUGUAGCUGGUCUGAGAGGACGACCAGCCGCACUGGGACUGAGACACGGCCCAGGCUCCUACGGGAGGCAGCAGUGGGGAAUUUUGGACAAUGGGCGAAAGCCUGAUCCAGCCAUGCCGCGUGCAGGAUGAAGGCCUUCGGGUUGUAAACUGCUUUUGUACGGAACGAAAAGGUUUGGCCUAAUAAGCUGAGCUCAUGACGGUACCGUAAGAAUAAGCACCGGCUAACUACGUGCCAGCAGCCGCAGUAA